This 429-nucleotide ribosomal RNA is filed under the name Gemmatimonadota bacterium. Its description in RNAcentral is "Gemmatimonadetes bacterium partial 16S ribosomal RNA". It matches the Rfam family "Bacterial small subunit ribosomal RNA", at positions 355 to 776 of the family's 1533-position model. The record is from RNAcentral. Lineage: Bacteria; Pseudomonadati; Gemmatimonadota.
UAGGGAAUCUUCGGCAAUGGACGAAAGUCUGACCGAGCAACGCCGCGUGAGUGAAGAAGGGUUUCGGAUCGUAAAACUCUGUUGUUAGAGAAGAACAAGGACGUUAGUAACUGAACGUCGCCUGACGGUAUCUAACCAGAAAGCCACGGCUAACUACGUGCCAGCAGCCGCGGUAAUACGUAGGUGGCAAGCGUUGUCCGGAUUUAUUGGGCGUAAAGCGAGCGCAGGCGGUUUCUUAAGUCUGAUGUGAAAGCCCCCGGCUCAACCGGGGAGGGUCAUUGGAAACUGGGAGACUUGAGUGCAGAAGAGGAGAGUGGAAUUCCAUGUGUAGCGGUGAAAUGCGUAGAUAUAUGGAGGCACACCAGUGGCGAAGGCGGCUCUCUGGUCUGUACCUGACGCUGAGGCUCGAAAGCGUGGGGAGCAAACAGG